This 240-nucleotide unclassified non-coding RNA is filed under the name soil metagenome. Its description in RNAcentral is "partial contains 5.8S ribosomal RNA, internal transcribed spacer 2, and large subunit ribosomal RNA". The record is from RNAcentral.
AACGCACGAGACCUGCGGACCUGCGGAAGGAUCAUUACCGAGUUUACAAAACUCCCAAACCCUUUGUGAACCUUACCUAUCGUUGCUUCGGCGGGAACGCCCCGGCGCCCUCGCGGCCCGGAACCAGGCGCCCGCCGGAGGCCCCAAACCCUCAUGUCUUUAGUGGUUUCCUCCUCUGAGUGACAUAAACAAAUAAAGUAAAAACUUUCAGCAAUGGAUCUCUAGAUCGGAAGAGCACAC